Molecule: unclassified non-coding RNA, 9828 nt
Filed under: Homarus americanus (American lobster)
Lineage: Eukaryota; Metazoa; Arthropoda; Malacostraca; Decapoda; Nephropidae
Description: b3 domain-containing transcription factor ABI3-like, transcript variant X4
Source: RNAcentral
CAUGAGUGGUAACACGAACAGGUCGGUGAGCAGCAGACGGCGGUCACAGCACAGGCGCGGCCAGUCAUCCACAGUCCUGUAUAAGUGUGGGUCUUGUUGACUGUUCCUGUCACUUGUUGGCUGAAAAAUAAGUAAUAGCACAAGAUGGAUCGACAUUUAAGGAAUAUCCUCGCCACUGCAAUUCUUUGCAGCAUCAUGCACAAUGGCUUAGCAGUGACCUGCAGCAGAGAGAAUGUUUGGGGACAAACAACGUAUAUGACUUGUCCCCAGCCAGGUGACUCGCCUGAGCAAAAGUACUGUUGUGGACCAAAGGAAGGGCGCUCCUGUUGUGACUCUAUUUUUGGUGAUUUUGACGAUGACGAUAUCCAAAGAAUCGUUAGCAAAGCACCAUUGGCUCUGGCUCAGGUACAGCCUAGCCCUGUGGUACCCAAGACUAUUGAAGAUCAAGAAGGUAUUCGCUCAACUGUGGAUCGCAUCAAGGUGAAGCUCAGUAAGACUGCUACUUCUGUAAAGAACAGGGUGACAGUAGGCAUUGAAAGAGUCAUAGACAAAGUCAAAAAGGAAGUCAAGGGAAAUCUCAGAAAUAAGGCAGCUAGGAUAGCACCAUUGGCUCUGGCUCAGACACUACCUAAGCUUGAGGUACCCAAGACUGUUGAAGAUCGUGAAGGUGUUCGCUCAACUGUAGAUCGCAUCAAGGUGAAGAUCAACGAUACUGUCACUGCUGCAAAGGACAAAGUUAAAGAUAAUGUGGGCAUUCAGAAGGCUAAAGACAAAGUCAAACAGAAAAUUAAAGAUAAAGUAAAAGAAAAGGCUACUAAAAAACUGGACCCAACUGGGGGGCACAUUAAGUCGCUUCCAGUGAUUAUUGGGGUCAUUGUGGCACUGAUUUUAGGGAUGGUUUUGCUCUGCAUUGUGUGUUGUUGCUGUUGCCCAUUCUGCCUCCUCUACAAGCAUCGUAACCAAGGAACAGUCCAUCAACCUAAACCUGAUGCUGUCGUGAUGCAACCACUCCAGGACAAGCCUCAAACAUAUCAACAACAACCAGAAUAUCCUCCACAACCAGGUUACCCCCCACAACCAGGUUACCCCCCACAACCAGGUUACCCCCCACAACCAGGUUACCCCCCACAACCAGGCUACCCCCAACAACAGGCAUACCCACCACAACCCUACCCAGGCGCAGGAUACCCAGAGCCUCAUCAGUGAGUUAACUGGGAAAAACCACCCACUGUCAUCCACCAUCUGGGCAGAGCUUGCCAGUGCUAAGUGAGCAGCCACCAUCAUACUCUGAGAAGCAGCUGGCAUACAACCCUGACUACUAAGCCUAGUGAUCUUCAGCUUAACAGUGACGUACAUACUUUCAUCUUCCUUUAUACAAGACGUGUUGUGAAUUUAAGAAAUAUGCUAUGUAUUUCUAUCUGUUUGACGAAUGGUUGUUACACAACAUUUUAAGUACACAUCACUUUGAUGAUAACAAGUAAUAACUUUUGGUUUAUAUCAGUGUGUUAUAUAUCAAGAAGAUAAUGAGUCUGUUAAGAGAUCAUGUCACUGAUUAAUCAUUUUUAAGUGUAGAAUUAUGGAGUGUUAUCUUGUCUUUCUUUUAUGUGUAAACUCAUUAUGUUUCCUGUUUUAUAAGGCAUGGCCAUGUACAACACAGUAUUGCUAUUUCAUUAUAUGAGAUAAUUAUUUGGUGUAACUGUAGUUGUCCUCUGAGUGAAUCUCUUAACAAAUAAGUGAAAAUUAUUUUACAGAGGAGGAAUUUAUCUCAAGUUUAAUAUUAUUAUUAUCAGUGUCCCACAGCUUUACUUUGGAUUUCAUGCUGUUCAUAGUGUUUACUUUUAAUCACAUGAGAUGUAGUUUUGUCAUUAUCAACCUUUAUUUGAACAGUACAGUAAAUAUUUUCAAACAGUGAAAAUUUUGAUGGAUUUGGUGCAGGUGUACAAGUUAAAUGCAUAAGCUAAAGUAGAUUAACAAAAGUUGCAGGAUAAUUUGGGUGAACAUAUUUUACACAAUACUCUCAUUUCCUCCAUGGUAAUGUGGGUUACUAUAUCUCUACAAUACAACUUCCACCAUUUUCUCUCCUUCCAUUCCCCUCAGAUUACUUACAUACAUAGUUUUAUCAGGUUAUUCUUUUUUUACAUAUUUAACCCUCGGCUAUAAUAAUCACGUAGUUUCUUUGUCAUAUUUGGACCUUAGUUAUCGUUGUAGUGUCCCAUUUCCAAAAAUAGAAGAAAACUUUUUAGACUACAAAUUCAUAGUUAACCCUGAAAAUGUAUUGCUACUGCUUUUUGUGGCUAUUGGAGAGUUUAAUAUAUUCAAUUCUACAGUUGUUAGGCUGAGUAACAUCUAAUUGCACUCAACUAUCACUCGUAUUUUCUCGGCUUCUUAAUGUUGUUUUAGAAUUCUUCCUAAAGACUGGUGUUGUGCAAGUCCGUAUUUUAAUGAAGAAAGGAAUUUGACAUUUAAAGGUAGAAUGUCGUGUAUCUGUGUUAUAUGAUACACCUAUUGCACUCAACUAGAUGGCUCAUACAGAAAAUUUCUAACUCCAUAAUAUAGGGACAUAUCUUCUCAAACCUUUUAGUUCAGCAGACCCUCAAUUAAUUGAGUCUUCAAAUACAUGAUUUUUAUAUACAGUGAUGUAAUUUAUUCUACAAACCAUCCACUUGAACACUUCUCUAUGUGGCCGAUGAUGCUGUGUGUUAUGGUUGAAAUAUACAACACAUAUAUGGAAAUGUAAUUUCUCUACUAUAAGUGAUACAAUGAAAAACACAAACAUAUUGAAUACUUAAAUUAUGAUAACUAUUUAAUCCCAAGUGUAAAAAUUUUUUAAAGCAAUAAAUUUAAUGAGAUUUUGUUCGUAAGUUCCUUUUGAAUGCCUCCAGAUAACUGUAGCAGGCAUCAGUAUCUCCCUUAUGUUCUCUAGCAUGUGUGAAACUGCAUUUAUCCUUUAUAUCUCAGGUUCACUGUUAAUACUCACUACAGUAGCUUCUGAAUAAGUUAAGGCCCUUCUACACUUCACUGAGAUGCAAAGAGCGUGUUAAGUUCCUACAGCAUGAAUGAGAAAGUGAAAGUACUAGGUGUGUUGAAGGCUGGGACCACUGCCAGCCAGCUAGCUACAGGCAUAUACUGUACAUUACGUAAUUAACAAAUUUUGUACAGUAUUUGCUGCAUGAAGGGGUACAUAUUUUUUCUUUUACAUUUAAUCAAAUUUAUACAAUAUAUAAAUACUUAUUAUAUUAGGAUUUUUUUUUUGUUAGUGGACCCUUUGAUGGAGGCAGACUAUGUUACUGAAGAUCUACCAAUAGAAUUUUUGGGUCAUGAAUUCCCACAUGAAACAAGAAAUGGUUGUAUGCUAUUCAGCUCCCUCCUGUACCACACUGUUCAUUAUGUUAUUACUCUAAAACUUCUCUAGUAGUGUAUCUCAUUUUUAUUUGGUCCAAUUUUUUUUUCCACAUAGAGAUAUGAAUAGCUUCAGGUUAAUAACUUUUUUGAGCAGUGUGUAUUUGUUAAAGCACUGUAUAUCUCCCAUACUGAAUGGUAUAAAUACUUAACCAAUGAAUGAAAGUAUAAAAUCAAUAACUUUUUUUACUGUACAGGGUACUUACUUCUAUUCUCAAAGACCAUCCUAAAAUCCCCCCCCCCCGUCUAUCUUUCUUUUUCCUCUUGUUUUCUUCAGAUCUUAGUCAUAAAUUUAUCACACACUAAAAAUACCCAUAGAGUUAUUUCUCAGAAUUCUCUAUUGCAGGACUGAGACAAUCCUAGACCCACCAGUGGUCAAAAAUCUGGUAUGGGUCCAUGAGUGGAUUAGAAGUACCAAGUACUGUACCUUAAAAUAACUUAAAUAUGUAGGAAGGAUGAAGACUAAUUGGAUUGUAAGGAGAUAAUACAGAAGUGAUUUAAAGUGGGCUGUAAUAGUUAAAUGGCAUAUGGAGUAACCUCUAUUGGAGGAAGGGAAGCAGUUAGAAAAGCAUGCUUAGAUGAGAGUGACUGGAUGAUUCAUUGUUUUUGAUAGAAAAUACAGUUCAGAUUGUGUUGGUGAUUAGCCCAAGGUAAUCUUGGAACUACAUCUCUCUUGGUGUGGAGAAAAAUGGGGCUUUCAUUAAGUUUUCUGUCACUUUAUUAAAAGUUUAUCCUGCUGGCUAAAUUUAUUCUCUCAUAAAGUUCCUCAGCUAUUAUGUAAUUACAGUAUAUUAACUAAGUACAGUUGCCAGCAAAAGUUCUUCCACAGCCCUAUGUAGCAAGUUUGUGGGAGGACUUUUGCUGGCAACUGUACAUUAAUUUGAACAAAUGUUGAAGUAUAGUGUAUUAUUUUUAUGGUUAAUCUGGAGCUGUAGUUUUGGAAGAUGAUCUGUAUGAAUUUUCACUGCCAUGUAUUUUAUUGCCUUUGGAAAUAAUCUUCCACACACAAACAUUUGCUUACAAGUUAAUACUGUAACUACAUGCACUUGAUUUACACCCUAGUGUGUGCACACAUGCAUACAAUUUACCCUCAUGACCACUGCCUAUAUGUAAAUGCAUAUGCCUUGCACAUGCACACAUGUAUUGCAGCAUUGUAUGUUCCUAUACUGUCUUGAAACUUUACAGUUUUAAAAGGUUAUUUAAACUGAAAUUCACAUGACCGAUACUCAGAUUAGUUAUAAUUGUAGUUUGUAUAAGAGAUGGUAAUGUUAUGAUUAUUUUUGUAUGGAGAAAUAUAUAGGGUAAAUAGAUGCUUGAUACUUCUAAAAGUGGUUAAUUAGUGUUGAUCAACAUAAAGACUUGAAAUUUUAUAGUAGCAAUGUAUAUAAUUUGAGUUAUUCAUAAAACUUGUUUUAAUUUGAUGGCACGGGUACAGUUUUUCUUUGUUGUCAGUGAAAGGUUUGAAAGUAUUGUUAAAAUUAUGUUCAUUUUAAAGUAUUAAUUGUUGAAAUUCUAUUAGCUAAGAAAUUUAAAACUGUUACUGAAAUACUUUCACUAUACUGUACUGUAUAUGGUAUAUACUGUACCUGUAUUUGUACCUAGUAUAUUACAGUAAUGUACGUAUAUACAAUAUACAGUACUGUAAAUUUCACAGUACAGUACCUAACUCAUAUUUAUAGAUUGACAAUACAAAUUAAAACACAAGCUAAGUUUCAUUUGAUACUGUGUUUUACUAUAAAACACGUACACCUGUUUGGCAUCAAGGAUUUUGGGUAUAUAUUGUACUAUGACCUGUUCACAAGACUUUAAUAUGGGAAUUUUCAUAUACUAUUAGUACUUUACUGUAUUAACUCUGGUAAUAAAAUAUGUACUGUACCCUGUAUUUUUAAAGGAAUAUAUGUGUAAUGAUAAUUUCAUAUAGAGACACUGUAUUUUUAAAGGACAAUGUGUGUGAUGAUAAUUUCAUAUAACUGUAGUUUUAUGUUUGUACCUUUCCAUUACCAGGCUUACGUGGGAAUGAAUACCAUUUUUAUUGCAAAAGAAACAGCACAAAGAGUUUACAAUAUAUUUAUUUACAAUUAAUUUUAAGUCCCCAUAGGUAGUAUGGUGUAUCCUAAUAUGUGGCAGAAAUAACACUUGAGGAAAUACCAGUUUGUUAUCUUGGUGAACAGAAGGUGUUUGGCACCAAAGGGGUUACAUUCAUUCUUUUAAUUUUCCAUGGUGCUGACCUAGAAAUUUGUCAUACAUUUUGUGUACGAGUAUUGUAUUCUCAUGUUAUACAAUUAUAUAAUAAAGUAUUGAAUAAAUUAUGAUUCAUAUUUAGUGUGAUUCCAGAAAACCAUAAUGUAAUUUUUUUUAUUUAUUGCUGAUUAACUGUGUAUCUAAACUGGAAAGCAAGUUGCAAUAUGUAAAGUGUAAUGUACAGAACCAGAAUAUAAAAUGGAUUUUAUGAUUAUACCAUACCAUUUUGUUUUCUUAGGAAAAGGUGUAACAAAGAAAAUUGAAUAUUGUACAGCUUAAAGGAAGUGCAGUGCUGGCUGAAAGGGUUAAUGAAGAAUCCAGUGACAACUUAAGAAAUGUAGGAUUUGUGGAAGGGCAUGGUUGUGUGGAUCACAUCUACAGAACUUGUCAGAAAAUCUCUGUUGUAAUGCUGUCAAACUUAUUUGCAUAUUUAUGAAGUAAAUAUAUUUUGUAGACAAGUACAGUAGUGUACAGUGUCCUGGAGCAGCCAUAAGUUUAAUGACUUUUAUAAAUUCAGGAAAUAAUAGCGCAUAAUGUUCAUAUAAAUCUGUUAAUUUGUCAAUCCAUAUAAUGUUGACCCUUUAAGGACAGUUCCCACAAUUGUUGUAUUUUAAACGAUUUGGCUUGAUUAUUUGGGUUCCUAGCCAGCCUAGCAAUGCUGAGGCUAAGAGAGGUUGCACAUUUGAAAAUAUAAACAAGUACAGUACCAUAAGUGAGUACAUGUACCAGUAAUUAUAAUCGAUCAUCAGAAUUAUGCUGAAGAUUAUCUUCAUUAUCUUUUCUUACGCUUGUUUUCUCUCUCGCCAAAAAGAUUUUCUCCAUUAAAUGAGUACAGAAUAGCUGCUAAAAAAUCCAACUAAGUACAGUAGAAUGAAGAAUAAAAAAAGGGCUGAUUGUUGCCCCAAGAUAACUUUUUGAAACAUGUAUUUUGACAAAGCCAGAAAUGGGUUAGAACCUUCAAAUACUUUUAGAUUUUUUAACAAUUCCAAAAAUCCGUCUUCUGAGCAGUCGUCCAAAAAUUUCAAGCAAUCGCCAUAAAAGGUUUAAAAGCGGAUUCGUUUUCUUCGUUUCAUUAUGAGAAUCCACCUCAGGCUGACAUUUUUCUUGACCGUCAAGUUUCCUUGUACAGUACAUGGAUGGGUAUGUUUAAUUUGGCAUAUCCUUUUAAUAAUGAUUUGAUAAUCAUUUUGAAUAAGUCUACCAGGUAAUUUCUUGUUUAAAAACUAUAGAAUUCAUGAAAUUCAUAGGAACUGUUACCUUCUUACCCUCUGUGUUUUUCUGUGUAAGUACUGUCCAGCAUUUUGAUUAUCAGCUGUAUAAUGGAGAAAUUAUUAUAAUUUUUUUGUGUUAAUAUUUUCAAGAGCAUUUGCUUACUGCUCAGAAACCAAUUGUGAUAUUACACGUAUUAUAGCCAAGAAACCACAGUUAGGACUUCUCACAAAUUUGUGCCAUACAUUUUGCAUUCAGGAUUUACAUCCUGUAAUUUCUUAUAUUGUAAUGUUAAAUUACCAGUAAAAACGUAAAUGGAAAUACUGUACAGUACCUUUAUUCUGUAUUGUAUAGUUCCCUUUCAUGGUGCUGCAUCUACAGUUAAGUUAAAGAAAUACUCCACUUUUAUUAACUACCUGUAUUGGAAAUUUUUACAAGUUAAGUAUUUUUUUAUAAUUUUAGGCUACCUGUCAUGUGAUCUAUCCAGCCUAAUGAGUGAAAAUAUUUAAUUAAUUAGAAUAAAAAAAAAUUUUCAUUCAAUGGGCUGGGUUUUGUUCUGUCUUUGCAUAGAAAUGAAAGGUUGAUACAGUAAGGUCCCACUUAAUGAGUGAUAUACUGUAUGUUCUUGAAAAGGUGCUCAUUAGAUUACUACUUGCUCAGUGAUAUCCAUUUUCCUAUAGGAAAAAAAGCUGGUGUGUGUUCCAGCCCAAAAAUUUCAACUCAAAACCCCAUGGAAUAAACUUUUGAUGCAUUCCAGCCCAAAGAAUAAGAAUGAACAUUGUUUUAGUACAUUUGAGUGCCAGGAAUCUGAAAUGUUUAGUACUAAGACUCAGAAAUUGAUAAUUUUGCAAACUCCAUAUAUCUACUCUAUGAAACCAUUUACUGUACUGUAUAUUUAAAUUGAUGAAAUUCAUAAAUUUUCAUUUUGACAGAUUGGCCUGCAAUCAAUCACUGGUGUGGUUCUCACACACACACACACACAUGAAUGCCACUAUUUAUGGCAAUACAGUACAGUACGUACUGUAUAUCAUCUGUGUAGUUGGGAGCAUCUAAAAGUAGAAGCACACUGACAAGAACCAAAAACUAUUUACUAUAAAAUAAAAAAAUUAUCAGGACAUUCCUAACAAAAUUAUAAUAUUUAUUGGCGAGGAAACGUGGAGCUAGCAGUAUCUGCCUAAAUCACAGUGCAUUGUGGGUGUGAUGAUUAAACGGUGGCACCAAACUUGAAAGCGUUUUUUUGUGAUCUGCAGUUUACCACAUAUAAUAUGAUGACUAUAGCUGUUUAUGGGUAAUUAAAUUUAAUGAAUUUUUAGUCUUAUCUCAAUACUCAAGUGUUGUAAUUACAAUCACCCUGUGAGUGUUAACCAAUGUAAAAAAUUAGUCAUCCACUCCACCAAGCACUGACAGUCAGGUCACUAAACACUCAGGUAGCCCAAUUUUUUUCAUAUUUACUCAUAAGAUUUAUAUAGGAAAAAAGUGUAACAGUACAGUAUUUAUUCUUUAUUGGAGCUGGUGUUGAAAACUUGAGUAAUUCGUCAUAUUUCUUCUUUAAGUCAUAAAUUUUUGUGGCUCCAACACCAUACUGGGCACAGAAGUUUACUUGCUGUCUGACCCUUAUCAAAGUUUGGGAGAGUUUCCACUUUUUUUUUUUUUUAAUUCUAAGUACUUUGUUUUCUUUUUGCACUACUGCACUCAGUACCGUCAUUUUUGUGUUUGUUUUGAGACAUUUUAAGGCCAAUGUAUCUGGUUAGAAUCCAUAAUGCUUUCUGAGUGAUGAAAGAAUGCUGUGAACAGCACAAAUGCAUGGGUAAUACAGGUUGGCACCUGGAAAAUAAAUGCCUGGCUAGCCAGCCACUGACUUUAUUUCAAAGUACACUACAGUAUGGAAAAUGAGUUUACAAGUGCACUAGCCCAGCUGGCUACUCAAUGACAAAGCAUGGAUAGCCCCCACUCCAUGACUGAUAAUGUGAGCUGGUUCACUCGUAAUUUUGCUUGAUAAAAGGAAGUUCAUUCACUGAAUUUUCAUAUCCUUAAACGCUAAGUUCGUUCAACCAAAUUUUCAUUCAUCGGUUACUUGUUCAGUGGGACCUUGGUGUAUUUUCUUUGGCAAGAAUCAGUCAAUGAGAACUUCAAUUUAGGCAGUUUUACUGGAAAUAACUUACACACUGGGUAUAUUGCACUAGUAGUGAUCAUAAGAAGAAAUGUGUGAGGCUUUCUUUGUAUCAACAGUCUCUGAGAAGUUUCGCCCCAUCUCCUGGAAAAUGCACAGUGAAGUGUACUGACUGACAAAUAUUGUAUUAAACAAAUUAUGUGAAAAUGCAUGAUACCUACUUAUUCAUUUCCAUGGCAUGAGUUAAUGCCAUGCGAGAAUAAGAUAUUUCUAAAACCUUGUUAAUUAAAUAUUUGAUGUCUUCAAAAAAUAUACACCUGUAUUUCCAGAACAGUAUACAGUGACCCUAUGUUAUCAGCAUACAGAUAGAUCCUUCGUUUUUGUCAAGAUUUUUACUUUCAAACAGUUGUUAAUGAAAAAUUUCUAUCGAUUCAUUAGAAGAAAUGCAAUUGUAAGAUACAUGAAGAACAGGAGCACUGUACAGGUACAGUAUAUUAGAAAAUACUGUACAGUACUCACUGUACAAUUUUGGGGUCAAAUGUUAAUAAACUUACUGUAUUUGCUUAUGGUACACUAGUGUAUUUUCAUGAAUAUAUGACAAAAGUUUGCUUUAACACGUUAUUAAAACAUUCUUAAAAAAAAAAACCAGAUGUCAGACACAUACAGUAUUGCUGUUGACCUGUGUGUAAUUUUGCUGUUGCUUCACAUACCGUAUAAUACAGUACAGGGUACUUAUGUGUGAAGUUUUUGAGACGUUUUUAUAAUUUUAAUUAAUAUAUUUACUGUACCGUACGUACUAUUAUUUUUGUUUUGAGACUUUUAUAAGACUUAGUAAACUCAUGUAAUAAAUACACUUCUAUUAACCUUGA